AAGGAAUCAACAGGGAUUGCCCUAGUAACGGCGAGUGAAGCGGCAACAGCUCAAAUUUGAAAUCUGGCUCUUUUAGAGUCCGAGUUGUAAUUUGCAGAGGGCGCUUUGGCUUUGGCAGCGGUCCAAGUUCCUUGGAACAGGACGUCACAGAGGGUGAGAAUCCCGUACGUGGUCGCUGGCUAUUGCCGUGUAAAGCCCCUUCGACGAGUCGAGUUGUUUGGGAAUGCAGCUCUAAAUGGGAGGUACAUUUCUUCUAAAGCUAAAUAUUGGCCAGAGACCGAUAGCGCACAAGUAGAGUGAUCGAAAGAUGAAAAGCACUUUGGAAAGAGAGUCAAACAGCACGUGAAAUUGUUGAAAGGGAAGCGCUUGCAGCCAGACUUGCUUACAGUUGCUCAUCCCGGCUUUUGCCCGGUGCACUCUUCUGUAGGCAGGCCAGCAUCAGUUUGGGCGGUAGGAUAAAGGUCUCUGUCACGUACCUCUCUUCCGGGGAGGCCUUAUAGGGGGAGACGACAUACUACCAGCCUGGACUGAAGUCCCGCGCAUCUGCUAAGGAUGCUGGGCGUAAUGGCUGUAAACGGGCCCGUCUUGAAACACCGGACCCAGGGAGUCUUAACAUCUAUUUCGAAUGGUUUGGGGUGUCCAAGCCCGAAGGGCGUAAUGGAAAGUGAAACGGAAGGUACGAAACCCCCCAAGGGUGGCACUAUUCGACCCGAUCCCUGAUAGUCUUCCGGAAAGGAAUUUGAAGUAAAAAACCUUGGGUUGUUUGGGGAACCCCGAAAAAAUGGGGGAAACUAUUGCCUUGGAAUAACGGGUGGAAAGCCCCAAAGGAAAAAUCCUUCUUUGGGAAGGCUCCCCGAACGGGUUUCUUUAAAAGGGGGAAAAUUCCGAUCCGGCCCAAAAUUUUGGGGCCUAAAGGGGGGCCAAAAAAAAUAAUUUUCCCAAUUUUUUUCCUGGAAAUUUGUUUUCUAAUUCAUUCCUCCCAACCCAA
This 988-nucleotide ribosomal RNA is filed under the name Alternaria chlamydosporigena. RNAcentral describes it as "LSU rRNA". The stretch from base 1 to 596 matches the Rfam family "Eukaryotic large subunit ribosomal RNA", at positions 59 to 664 of the family's 3401-position model. The record is from RNAcentral. Lineage: Eukaryota; Fungi; Ascomycota; Dothideomycetes; Pleosporales; Pleosporaceae.